This 381-nucleotide ribosomal RNA is filed under the name uncultured eukaryote. RNAcentral's name for it is "partial 18S ribosomal RNA". It matches the Rfam family "Eukaryotic small subunit ribosomal RNA", at positions 592 to 975 of the family's 1831-position model. The record is from RNAcentral.
CAAUAGCGUAUAUUAAAGUUGUUGCAGUUAAAAAGCUCGUAGUUGGAUUUCUGGUUGAAGCGACCGGUCGGGCGUUGAUUCGUCUGCACUGGAGUCGGUUUUGGCCAUCCUCUAGGAAAGUGCGUCUGGUAUUAAGUUAUCGGGCGUAUGAUCCUGGUCUUUUACUGUGAAAAAAUUAGAGUGUUUAAAGCAGGCCUUCGCCUUGAAUACAUUAGCAUGGAAUAAUAAGAUAGGACUUUGGUCUAUUUUGUUGGUUUGCAGACCGAAGUAAUGAUUAAUAGGGAUAGUUGUGGGUAUUUAUAUUCCGAUGUCAGAGGUGAAAUUCUUAGAUUUUCGGAAGAUAAACUUAUGCGAAAGCAUUUACCAAGGAUGUUUUCAUUA